AUGAACGCUAGCGGCAGGCUUAACACAUGCAAGUCGAGGGGCAGCGCGAUGUAGCAAUACAUUGGCGGCGACCGGCGCACGGGUGCGUAACACGUAUGGAACCUGCCCUUUACUGGGGGAUAACCCGGAGAAAUCCGGACUAAUACCCCAUAACAGACGAGGCGGCAUCGCCUUGUCUUGAAAGCUCCGGCGGUAAAGGAUGGCCAUGCGCCCGAUUAGCUAGUUGGUGAGGUAAUGGCUCACCAAGGCGACGAUCGGUAGGGGGCCUGAGGGGGUUAUCCCCCACACUGGUACUGAGACACGGACCAGACUCCUACGGGAGGCAGCAGUGAGGAAUAUUGCGCAAUGGAGGCAACUCUGACGCAGCCAUGCCGCGUGCAGGAAGAAGGCGCUACGCGUUGUAAACUGCUUUUAUCCGGGAAGAAACCCCAGGACGUGUCCUGGGUUGACGGUACCGGAGGAAUAAGCACCGGCUAACUUCGUGC
RNAcentral lists this ribosomal RNA (485 nucleotides) under uncultured bacterium. RNAcentral describes it as "bacterial SSU rRNA". It matches the Rfam family "Bacterial small subunit ribosomal RNA", at positions 29 to 508 of the family's 1533-position model. The record is from RNAcentral.